UACGUAGGGGGCUAGCGUUGUCCGGAUUUAUUGGGCGUAAAGAGCGUGUAGGCGGCCUGGUAAGUCCGCUGUAAAAGUCAAAGGCUCAACCUUUGAAUGUCAGUGGAUACUGCCGGGCUAGAGUCCGGAAGAGGCGAGUGGAACUCCUGGUGUAGCGGUGGAAUGCGCAGAUAUCAGGAAGAACACCAACGGCGAAGGCAGCUCGCUAGGACGGUACUGACGCUGAGACGCGAAAGCGUGGGGAGCGAACAGG
Molecule: ribosomal RNA, 253 nt
Filed under: uncultured bacterium
Lineage: Bacteria
Description: partial 16S ribosomal RNA
Rfam family: Bacterial small subunit ribosomal RNA
Source: RNAcentral